ACUUGGGAUCACGCCUUGCAGGGGUAGGCCUGAUCAGUACUUGGCUGGGAGACUUCCAAGGAGCACCCAGGGUCUCCAGGU
RNAcentral lists this ribosomal RNA (81 nucleotides) under Chelonoidis abingdonii (Abingdon island giant tortoise). The record is from RNAcentral. Lineage: Eukaryota; Metazoa; Chordata; Testudines; Testudinidae.